AUUAAGAUUGUGCAAGAAGAGUAUGGUUGGUUUUAUCCUGCCUGUCGUAAGUGUUUUAAGAAGGUCGUAGCUAAAAGUGAAUACUUAUAGAAUGUUGAAAAUGUUUCGGAUGAUAUUCUUCAAUUGCCUACGACUUCUUUGGUUUGUCCCAAAUGUCAUAGUGAAUGUACAUCUAUCACCACAAAGUUCAAGGUGCAAGUCUGGGUGUAGGAUGGGAGUGGUAGUGUUUCUUUUGUUAUGUUUAAUAGAGAUGUUCAGAAGCUUCUUGGAUUAGCGACGAGUGACAUAAAAGAAAGGCAGGUGAAGGUGAAUGAUAUUGAAUGUUUCCCACAUGAGAUAUUUCGAUUGGUUGAUAAGAAGGUCGCUUUUAAGAUUGAUGUUAUAGAAUUCAAUCUUAAAAAUGACUAUCGUGUUUAUACUGUGCAAAAAACAUGUGAUGAUUCAGUAAUAAUUGCUGAGUUAGUUGGUGGAGAUGGUAAUGGUGAUGAAAAUGCUGAUGAGCUAGUAUAUAAAAUCACUUUUUCAAUCUAUUUAUUUUUGGUUUGAGGUUCAAAAACUGGAUUCUGCACUUUUUUAUAUAAUAUCAUAUAUUACGAUCCUUUAGGUUACUCAAGAAGUAGCUGAAGUUAAAGAUGUUAACUUUUCAGAAUGUUCCCAGGUGUCUGCUAAACGAGCUUCAAGGGAUGUUGUCUCUGUUACGGCCGACUCUUUAGCCGUUGAAGUUGAAAAGGAUUUAGGACCAAGUCCCAAUGGAAAGCGGAUAGUUCAAGAUGUUGAUCUUGUAAAUGUUGGUGAGCUAUCCUCUAAUAUGAGAAGAACCCGGAAGAAGCUAUCUAAGGUUAACAAUUAGAUGCUUAUGAAAAAACAUUUCUUAUGAGAGAUAAGUUGAAACCACUUAUUUUGAAGACUCCUUAUGGUUUUUAUUUAUGUCUGUUAACUGUUGUUUUAACAUAUUGUGGUUAAAAGUUUGGUAUGUAAUGGCUACAAUUUGAAACAUCUAAACUGAUGGAUUUGGUAUGUAAU
Molecule: long non-coding RNA, 1023 nt
Organism: Helianthus annuus (common sunflower)
Lineage: Eukaryota; Viridiplantae; Streptophyta; Magnoliopsida; Asterales; Asteraceae
Exons: 3
Source: RefSeq, a predicted model, not a curated record